UGUGAGCUCUAGUUUUUUUGCAAUUCUUGUUUUUCACUGUUCACCAUAAUCUUUGUUUUUCACAAUACAAGAAUUCAAUAGUUUAUUAAACACAUAGCCAAAGUAGUACAAUAUGAGUAUAAAUGUAAGUGACUUAUAUAGCAUUGAACAUGACAUGUAUAGCAUUGAAAAUGACAUGUAUAUCUAUGUACAGUUGGAAGUAUGCAAAAAUGUAUUCUCUUGGGAUACACAGUAUCUUUCAAUUUAUGACUUGUUUACACAUUUUUGUCUACUUGAAGAAGCCAUGGUCCGAUCUGAAAAAUACAAAUAUUUAGGUUACAAAACUAU
Podarcis lilfordi (Lilford's wall lizard) is the source of this 327-nucleotide non-coding RNA. Lineage: Eukaryota; Metazoa; Chordata; Lepidosauria; Squamata; Lacertidae. The record is from the annotation of a GenBank genome assembly.